UAGGGAAUCUUCGGCAAUGGGGGGAACCCUGACCGAGCAACGCCGCGUGAGUGAAGAAGGUUUUCGGAUCGUAAAGCUCUGUUGUUAAGGAAGAACGAGUGUGAGAAUGGAAAGUUCAUGCUGUGACGGUACUUAACCAGAAAGGGACGGCUAACUACGUGCCAGCAGCCGCGGUAAUACGUAGGUCCCGAGCGUUGUCCGGAUUUAUUGGGCGUAAAGCGAGCGCAGGCGGUUAGAAAAGUCUGAAGUGAAAGGCAGUGGCUCAACCAUUGUAGGCUUUGGAAACUGUUUAACUUGAGUGCAAAAGGGGAGAGUGGAAUUCCAUGUGUAGCGGUGAAAUGCGUAGAUAUAUGGAGGAACACCGGUGGCGAAAGCGGCUCUCUGGUCUGUAACUGACGCUGAGGCUCGAAAGCGUGGGGAGCGAACAGG
This 429-nucleotide ribosomal RNA is filed under the name Bacteroidota bacterium. Its description in RNAcentral is "Bacteroidetes bacterium partial 16S ribosomal RNA". It matches the Rfam family "Bacterial small subunit ribosomal RNA", at positions 355 to 776 of the family's 1533-position model. Lineage: Bacteria; Pseudomonadati; Bacteroidota. The record is from RNAcentral.